CCGGGAAUUUUGGGCAAUGGGGGAAACCCUGACCCAGCAACGCCGCGUGAAGGAUGAAGUAUUUCGGUAUGUAAACUUCGAAAGAAUAGGAAGAAUAAAUGACGGUACUAUUUAUAAGGUCCGGCUAACUACGUGCCAGCAGCCGCGGUAAUACGUAGGGACCAAGCGUUGUUCGGAUUUACUGGGCGUAAAGGGCGCGUAGGCGGCAUGACAAGUCACUUGUGAAAUCUCUGGGCUUAACCCAGAACGGCCAAGUGAUACUGUCGCGCUAGAGUGCAGAAGGGGCAAUCGGAAUUCUUGGUGUAGCGGUGAAAUGCGUAGAUAUCAAGAGGAACACCUGAGGUGAAGACGGGUUGCUGGGCUGACACUGACGCUGAGGCGCGAAAGCCAGGGGAGCAAACGGGAUUAGAUACCCUUGUAGUCCCUGAGCGGGCUGGCAAGGCGCAU
RNAcentral lists this ribosomal RNA (447 nucleotides) under uncultured bacterium. Its description in RNAcentral is "bacterial SSU rRNA". It matches the Rfam family "Bacterial small subunit ribosomal RNA", at positions 355 to 825 of the family's 1533-position model. The record is from RNAcentral.